ACAAAACACCGAGCAUCACCGUCUCUUGUUUUCAUGUGCUUGUGCUAUGUGGGAUGCUCCUCUGGGGCUAAGACUUUAGCUUUUAAAUUUUUGUGUGUGAGAAAAAAUAGGGAGAUGUAAUAGAAAGCACAAAAAAUGGGUCAUGUAGUUCUAAAAUUGCUGUUUGAAUCUGAAGAAGAAAUUAGUUUCUGCACUUUUAAAAGACUUUUGCCUACAAUUUUUUUUUAAUGGAUGCAACAAUAACUGCUGGAAGCUGAAUUUUUGAAAUCUGGGGCUUUUCCUGCAUGGGUGAAGAAGAAGCCACCAUCAUGGCCGGCAAGGCAAGAACAGGGAUGAAUGCCUGACCAGAAUGUGCGCACAGGAACUUACUCUGCCAAGCACAGAAUGAAUCAGAGAGAUAUGAGAGGAUCUAAGGACUCAGCUCAACUUUUCCCACUGUGCCCAUUCACAGCUGCAUUCAGUGGCACUAAGUCACAAGACAGAUGUCCAGCAGCACUUCUACAUCUGCCCCUGCCCCAGGAUUCUGUGGUCAAUGCCCCCAAACAAGACACAUCCUUCACAGAAGUACAAGAAAGUCAGUGCAGGAAUGAGGACACAGGGCAGGCACCAACACAUCUCUGAGAUCUGUCUGCAAGCAUCCGAGGAAAAAUCAAUUCCAGACAUACUGUAUCAAUUUCAGCUCCAUGUAGGAACUGGCAGCGUUUAAAUCUCUUAGCUUUUUACAUCUUGAAUCAACUCUGCCUUUCUCUUGCGUAGAUACAAAGGCAGAAUAAUCUUCCUAACUUUGAGGGAGUUUGAUUCAAGGGUACAUCUGUCUAAAGAAAUUACAUAUUUGUUUCUCCCAAUUCAUACAUUUUCUGAGGAAGGGGGAAGAUGCAAUCACUUGAUUUUGAUACUUCUAGUGACCAUCAGCUAAUUUUACCUUAGUCCCACAUUCUCUGAAGGAAUCACAAUGGAAUAAAAGCUUAAUCUUGUUCUCAUUCAAGUCAAUAAAAAAUUCCCAUUGGUUCAAAUUAGAGCAUGAGUGAUCCUGAAAUAUGAGUCAGAAUUGCACAACCCAAUUUUCAUUGGGCUAGGCCUAAAGAAUCUCCUUUAAACCACAUUCUCACUCCAGUUCCUCAUGUGCAAAAGUACUGGUUUACCAAGUGAGGCCCCAAACCCUGACUCACUGAAUUCCCACUGCAGUACUCUAAAUAUUACCUAGGGAUUUAGAGAUUUGUUCUUUCACCUUCUAGCACCAUCACUUUUUUUCCUUCCCUAAGUCUUCUCCUCUGCAAGCCCCUACACUUUGCCCUGUGCCUUUAUAGAAACAGCAAAAGCAAUAAACUUUUGUUUCCCUCU
Long non-coding RNA from Zonotrichia leucophrys gambelii, 1341 nucleotides. RefSeq lists it as uncharacterized. The transcript has 4 exons. The record is from RefSeq and is a predicted model, not a curated record. NCBI's taxonomy places the organism in Eukaryota, Metazoa, Chordata, Aves, Passeriformes, Passerellidae.